CGGGUGAGUAACGCGUGAGGAACCUGCCUCAAAGAGGGGGACAACAGUUGGAAACGACUGCUAAUACCGCAUAAGCCCACGGCUCGGCAUCGAGCAGAGGGAAAAGGAGUGAUCCGCUUUGAGAUGGCCUCGCGUCCGAUUAGCUAGUCGGUGAGGUAACGGCCCACCAAGGCAACGAUCGGUAGCCGGACUGAGAGGUUGAACGGCCACAUUGGGACUGAGACACGGCCCAG
This 233-nucleotide ribosomal RNA is filed under the name uncultured bacterium. RNAcentral's name for it is "partial 16S ribosomal RNA". It matches the Rfam family "Bacterial small subunit ribosomal RNA", at positions 103 to 334 of the family's 1533-position model. The record is from RNAcentral.